RNAcentral lists this ribosomal RNA (510 nucleotides) under uncultured Dysgonomonas sp. Its description in RNAcentral is "bacterial SSU rRNA". It matches the Rfam family "Bacterial small subunit ribosomal RNA", at positions 28 to 524 of the family's 1533-position model. Lineage: Bacteria; Pseudomonadati; Bacteroidota; Bacteroidia; Bacteroidales; Dysgonomonadaceae. The record is from RNAcentral.
GAUGAACGCUAGCGAUAGGCUUAACACAUGCAAGUCGAGGGGUAGCAGGAAGGUAGUUUACUACUUUUGCUGACGACCGGCGCACGGGUGAGUAACGCGUAUGCAAUUUACCUUAUACACGGGGAUAGCCCGGCGAAAGUCGGAUUAAUACCCGAUAUUAUUAAGAGUUCGCAUGGAUUUUUAAUGAAAGAUUUAUCGGUAUAAGAUAAGCAUGCGUUCCAUUAGCUUGUUGGUAAGGUAACGGCUUACCAAGGCAACGAUGGAUAGGGGGAACUGAGAGGUUUAUCCCCCACACUGGAACUGAGACACGGACCAGACUCCUACGGGGAGGCAGCAGGUNAGGAAUAUUGGGUCAAUGGACGAGAGUCUGAACCAGCCAAGUCGCGUGAAGGAAGACUGCCUUAUGGGUUGUAAACUUCUUUUAUAUAGGAAUAAAAAAUCUACGUGUAGAUUCUUGCAUGUACUAUAUGAAUAAGCAUCGGCUAACUCCGUGCCAGCCGCCGCAGUAAU